This 253-nucleotide ribosomal RNA is filed under the name uncultured bacterium. RNAcentral describes it as "partial 16S ribosomal RNA". It matches the Rfam family "Bacterial small subunit ribosomal RNA", at positions 524 to 776 of the family's 1533-position model. The record is from RNAcentral.
UACGAAGGGUGCAAGCGUUAGUCGGAAUUACUGGGCGUAAAGCGUGCGUAGGUGGCUUCUUAAGUCGGAUGUGAAAGCCCUGGGCUCAACCUGGGAAUGGCACUCGAUACUGGGAAGCUAGAGUGCGGUAGAGGAGGGUGGAAUUCCCGGUGUAGCGGUGAAAUGCGUAGAGAUCGGGAGGAACAUCAGUGGCGAAGGCGACCCUCUGGACCAGCACUGACGCUGAGGCACGAAAGCGUGGGGAGCAAACAGG